Molecule: ribosomal RNA, 402 nt
Filed under: uncultured bacterium
Lineage: Bacteria
Description: bacterial SSU rRNA
Rfam family: Bacterial small subunit ribosomal RNA
Source: RNAcentral
UCGGGAAUUUUGGGCAAUGGGCGAAAGCCUGACCCAGCAACGCCGCGUGAGGGAUGAAGUAUUUCGGUAUGUAAACCUCGAAAGAAUGGGAAGAAUAAAUGACGGUACCAUUUAUAAGCUCCGGCUAACUACGUGCCAGCAGCCGCGGUAAUACGUAGGGAGCAAGCGUUAUUCGGAUUUACUGGGCGUAAAGGGCGCGUAGGCGGCGCGGUAAGUCACUUGUGAAAUCUCUGAGCUUAACUCAGAACGGCCAAGUGAUACUGCUGUGCUAGAGUGCGGAAGAGGCAACCGGAAUUCUUGGUGUAGCGGUGAAAUGCGUAGAUAUCAAGAGGAACACCUGAGGCGAAGGCGGGUUGCUGGGCCGACACUGACGCUGAUGCGCGAAAGCCAGGGGAGCAAACG